ACUUAGACUAACAUAAGAAACUUUCAUUGUUAUAAUCGCUAGCGGCAGAAUAUGAUUAAACUUCUUUGUGAGCUUUAAAGAGAGAAAUGCAACAGUUAAGAAGAUCAGGAAAUUGCUUCCUGGCAGAGGUGGAUGUGAAUCAGGCUUUUCGUCAUACACUGAGUCUCCUUAGAGCUCUCGCAGAGUACUUGGAUGUGGCUGACACCCUGG
Long non-coding RNA from Physeter macrocephalus (sperm whale), 210 nucleotides. RefSeq lists it as uncharacterized. The transcript has 2 exons. Lineage: Eukaryota; Metazoa; Chordata; Mammalia; Artiodactyla; Physeteridae. The record is from RefSeq and is a predicted model, not a curated record.